GGGAGGGGAAGAAAAUGAUGUGGAAAAAGAAUAGAUUGAGAAUUCACAAAACUCUUAGGCUCAGAAGACUCCAGGCUCCUAAGGAAGCUUCUAAGGAAGAACAAGAUGCGGGAAUGGUACUUUUAUGAAGACUUUUAUGUGGCUCCUCCACACACAACUUUGAGAAGAAACAACCAUUUGUCCAGGAUGACUUGGAUAUCCAUCUGUCCGAACCCACGGAGUGAACAAGAAGAAGAUGGUGAAACCAUUCCCGCAAUGAUGGAGACGAAGUCAUGAAGAGGCAGGAAUGCUUGUGAGCUCCCUGAGGCAGAGACCACACCUUGCUCUCUCAUCUAUCAACCAUGAAGUCCAGCCUGACACCAACAUGCAUUCAGUGAAUGGAAAAUUGGAAGAGGAGCAGUCUCCUUGUGGGUUUAUUUUUCUGAUAUGUGUUCCAGAAGUUUGCUCCCCAUUGGACCGCAGGUGCUGCCACUAUCGCCUCACAUCAAAUGUAGCUUCCCAGAGGGCACACCUGUGAGCAGGGUCUGCAGGGAAGUGUCCAGUGUCCAGUGUCCAGGAGCCAGGCACCCAGGAGACACUAACUGCAAGGACACCCUGUCCACUCUGCUCCUGAUACCUUUCUGGGUUCCAAUCCCCUGUGCUCAGUCCCCAGUCUUCCCAGCUUCAUGAGGUCUCUGAUUUAGUCUGUGUAUUGUUGGAGGGAACAUAAUACCAGUUUAGUUGCCCUUAGGCAGUCCAAACCAGGAAAACUGAGAAAUCAAACCUCAGAAUUUCAUAGAGUAGUGGUGACCUCAAGGCCUGGUUUCCUUUCUUCCUAUUUUGAAAUCUUCCCAAGGUGGCAAGUUUGGUUUUUGCACCUCUGUUCCCAGCUCCCAUAUCUUCAUGAGGAGGGGUCUCAGAGGGUGCCCUCUGCCUGAUGGUUUCCUGUAUUAUUUCUGCAACUUCAAAACACCCACCUGGUGCUGUGCAGGGAGAAAGCCCCGGAUACAUAGCUGCUGAUUGGAAUUAAAAGGACGGAGAAAACCAAAAUGAGUAGACUCAAUGGGAGAUUAAUUGCAUAGGAGUCUGUUGACUGCAUGACUGAAGCUGGAUUUUUUUCGGAACCGCUGACUGCCUUCACAUUUCCUGGUGGA
Molecule: long non-coding RNA, 1133 nt
Organism: Neofelis nebulosa (Clouded leopard)
Lineage: Eukaryota; Metazoa; Chordata; Mammalia; Carnivora; Felidae
Exons: 3
Source: RefSeq, a predicted model, not a curated record